UACGUAGGGCGCAAGCGUUGUCCGGAAUUAUUGGGCGUAAAGAGCUCGUAGGCGGCCUGUCGCGUCUGCUGUGAAAUCCCGGGGCUUAACCCCGGGCGUGCAGUGGAUACGGGCUGGCUGGAGGCAGGCAGGGGGGAACGGAAUUCCCGGUGUAGCGGUGAAAUGCGCAGAUAUCGGGAGGAACACCGGUGGCGAAGGCGGUUCUCUGGGCCUGUUCUGACGCUGAGGAGCGAAAGCGUGGGGAGCGAACAGG
RNAcentral lists this ribosomal RNA (253 nucleotides) under uncultured bacterium. Its description in RNAcentral is "partial 16S ribosomal RNA". It matches the Rfam family "Bacterial small subunit ribosomal RNA", at positions 524 to 776 of the family's 1533-position model. The record is from RNAcentral.